ACUCAGUUGCUAGAGUACAAAGCUCUUAACCUUGUGGACGUGGGUUCAAGCCCCAU
RNAcentral lists this transfer RNA (56 nucleotides) under Triticum aestivum (bread wheat). It matches the Rfam family "tRNA", at positions 10 to 63 of the family's 71-position model. Rfam says of the family: Transfer RNA (tRNA) molecules are approximately 80 nucleotides in length. The record is from Rfam by way of RNAcentral. Lineage: Eukaryota; Viridiplantae; Streptophyta; Magnoliopsida; Poales; Poaceae.